GUGGGGAAUAUUGCGCAAUGGGGGAAACCCUGACGCAGCAACGCCGCGUGAAGGAUGAAGGUUUUCGGAUUGUAAACUUCUUUGACGAGGGACGAAAGAAAUGACGGUACCUCGAAAACAAGCUCCGGCUAACUACGUGCCAGCAGCCGCGGUAAUACGUAGGGAGCGAGCGUUGUCCGGAUUUACUGGGUGUAAAGGGCGAGUAGGCGGGAUUGCAAGUCAGAUGUGAAAUCUAUCGGCUUAACUGAUAGACUGCAUUUGAAACUGCGGUUCUUGAGUGAUGGAGAGGCAGGCGGAAUUCCUAGUGUAGCGGUGAAAUGCGUAGAUAUUAGGAGGAACACCAGUGGCGAAGGCGGCCUGCUGGACAUUAACUGACGCUGAUGCGCGAAAGCGUGGGGAGCAAACAGGAUUAGAAACCCCGGUAGUCC
This 428-nucleotide ribosomal RNA is filed under the name uncultured bacterium. RNAcentral's name for it is "partial 16S ribosomal RNA". It matches the Rfam family "Bacterial small subunit ribosomal RNA", at positions 354 to 796 of the family's 1533-position model. The record is from RNAcentral.